UAGGGAAUCUUCCGCAAUGGGCGAAAGCCUGACGGAGCAACGCCGCGUGAGGGAUGACGGCCUUCGGGUUGUAAACCUCUUUCAGCAGGGACGAAGCGCAAGUGACGGUACCUGCAGAAGAAGCACCGGCUAACUACGUGCCAGCAGCCGCGGUAAUACGUAGGGUGCAAGCGUUGUCCGGAAUUACUGGGCGUAAAGAGUUCGUAGGCGGUUUGUCGCGUCGUUUGUGAAAACCAGCAGCUCAACUGCUGGCUUGCAGGCGAUACGGGCAGACUUGAGUACUGCAGGGGAGACUGGAAUUCCUGGUGUAGCGGUGAAAUGCGCAGAUAUCAGGAGGAACACCGGUGGCGAAGGCGGGUCUCUGGGCAGUAACUGACGCUGAGGAACGAAAGCGUGGGUAGCGAACAGG
RNAcentral lists this ribosomal RNA (409 nucleotides) under Actinomycetes bacterium. Its description in RNAcentral is "Actinobacteria bacterium partial 16S ribosomal RNA". It matches the Rfam family "Bacterial small subunit ribosomal RNA", at positions 355 to 776 of the family's 1533-position model. Lineage: Bacteria; Bacillati; Actinomycetota; Actinomycetes. The record is from RNAcentral.